RNAcentral lists this ribosomal RNA (497 nucleotides) under uncultured bacterium. RNAcentral describes it as "partial 16S ribosomal RNA". It matches the Rfam family "Bacterial small subunit ribosomal RNA", at positions 28 to 507 of the family's 1533-position model. The record is from RNAcentral.
GAUGAACGCUGGCGGCGUGCCUAAUACAUGCGAGUCGAGCGAACGGACGAGAAGCUUGCUUCUCUGAUGUUAGCGGCGGACGGGUGAGUAACACGUGGAUAACCUACCUAUAAGACUGGGAUAACUUCGGGAAACCGGAGCUAAUACCGGAUAAUAUUUUGAACCGCAUGGUUCAAAAGUGAAAGACGGUCUUGCUGUCACUUAUAGAUGGAUCCGCGCUGCAUUAGCUAGUUGGUAAGGUAACGGCUUACCAAGGCAACGAUGCAUAGCCGACCUGAGAGGGUGAUCGGCCACACUGGAACUGAGACACGGUCCAGACUCCUACGGGAGGCAGCAGUAGGGAAUCUUCCGCAGUGGGCGAAAGCCUGACGGAGCAACGCCGCGUGAGUGAUGAAGGUCUUCGGAUCGUAAAACUCUGUUAUUAGGGAAGAACAUAUGUGUAAGUAACUGUGCACAUCUUGACGGUACCUAAUCAGAAAGCCACGGCUAACUACGUG